UUGGGGAUUUUGCACAAUGGACGCAAGUCUGAUGCAGCAACACUGCGUGAAGGAUGAAGGUUUUCGGAUUGUAAACUUCUUUUGUGUGGGAAUAAUCUUGAAGGUACCACACGAAUAAGCACCGGCUAACUACGUGCCAGCAGCCGCGGUAAUACGUAGGGUGCAAACGUUAUCCGGAUUUAUUGGGCGUAAAGAGCUCGUAGGCGGAUAGGAAAGUUGGACAUUAAAGACCCAAGCUCAACUUGGGGACAGUAUCCAAAACUGCCUAUCUAGAGGAAUGCAGGGGAGAACGGAACUUACGGUGUAGCGGUGGAAUGCGUAGAUAUCGUAAGGAACGCCAAUGGUGAAGACAGUUCUCUGGGCAUUUUCUGACGCUGAGGAGCGAAAGCGUGGGUAGCGAUCGGG
Molecule: ribosomal RNA, 405 nt
Filed under: uncultured bacterium
Lineage: Bacteria
Description: bacterial SSU rRNA
Rfam family: Bacterial small subunit ribosomal RNA
Source: RNAcentral